GAUGAACGCUGGCGGCGUGCCUAAUACAUGCAAGUCGAGCGAACAGACGAGGAGCUUGCUCCUCUGACGUUAGCGGCGGACGGGUGAGUAACACGUGGAUAACCUACCUAUAAGACUGGGAUAACUUCGGGAAACCGGAGCUAAUACCGGAUAAUAUAUUGAACCGCAUGGUUCAAUAGUGAAAGACGGUUUUGCUGUCACUUAUAGAUGGAUCCGCGCCGCAUUAGCUAGUUGGUAAGGUAACGGCUUACCAAGGCGACGAUGCGUAGCCGACCUGAGAGGGGUGGCGGCCAAAACGGAAAGUAAACAACGGGCAGGACCCCAACGGGAGGCAGAGGUGGGGAAUGUUCCGAAAGGGGGGAAAGCCUGACGGAGAACCGCCGGGGGAGAAAAGAAGGUCUUCGGAUCGAAAAACUCUGUUAUGGGGAAAGAACAAAUGGGUAAGUAACUGUGCAGAUCUGGACGUUCCCAAAUCAAAAAGCCCCGGCAAACUACGU
This 497-nucleotide ribosomal RNA is filed under the name uncultured bacterium. RNAcentral's name for it is "partial 16S ribosomal RNA". It matches the Rfam family "Bacterial small subunit ribosomal RNA", at positions 28 to 506 of the family's 1533-position model. The record is from RNAcentral.